RNAcentral lists this long non-coding RNA (206 nucleotides) under Olea europaea (common olive). Its description in RNAcentral is "long non-coding RNA (OEUR_LNC002872)". Lineage: Eukaryota; Viridiplantae; Streptophyta; Magnoliopsida; Lamiales; Oleaceae. The record is from RNAcentral.
AAGACCAGAGGAGGAGAAAAUGGCCACCGAUUUGUGAACAGAAAUAAAUACCUUUGAAAAUUAUUCCAUAACUAUAAUCUGUAAAAAAUGGAAAGACAAACCCUAGCUUCGUCAUCUUCAUCAACCAGUGGAAUUUCAAUAAUUUCUCCUCCACCAGAAGAUGCUUGGAUCACUACUUAUCAAAAGUUACGCCCUCAGUUGCAACC